GCUGUACAAUGAUGAUACUUUGGCUCCCUCUACUGAUAACUUGUGAGGAAAGUGCCAUCCGUUACCCAAUGCUUCUGAGAGUACAGC
Small nucleolar RNA from Phalacrocorax carbo (great cormorant), 87 nucleotides. It matches the Rfam family "Small nucleolar RNA SNORD100". Rfam says of the family: The members of this family belong to the C/D class of snoRNAs which contain the C (UGAUGA) and D (CUGA) box motifs. Most of the members of the box C/D family function in directing site-specific 2'-O-methylation of substrate RNAs. HBII-429 (SNORD100) is predicted to guide the 2'O-ribose methylation of 18S rRNA G436. Lineage: Eukaryota; Metazoa; Chordata; Aves; Suliformes; Phalacrocoracidae. The record is from Rfam.